CCUACGGGAGGCUGCAGUGGGGAAUAUUGGGCAAUGGGCGCAAGCCUGACCCAGCAACGCCGCGUGAAGGAAGAAGGCCCUCGGGUUGUAAACUUCUUUUAUUCGGGACGAAACAAAUGACGGUACCGAAUGAAUAAGUCUCGGCUAACUACGUGCCAGCAGUCGCGGCAAUCCGUAGGUGGCAAUCGUUAUCCGGAUUUACUGGGUGUAAAGGGCGUGUAGGCGGGAGAGCAAGUCAGACGUGAAAUUCCAGGGCCCAACCCCGGAACUGCGUUUGAAACUGUAUUUCUUGAGUGAUGGAGAGGCAGGCGGAAUGCCGGGUGUAGCGGUGAAAUGCGUAGAUAUACGGAGGAACACCAGUGGCGAAGGCGGCCUGCUGGACAUUAACUGACGCUGAGGCGCGAAAGCGUGGGGAGCAAACAGGAUUAGAUACCCGGGUAGUC
RNAcentral lists this ribosomal RNA (443 nucleotides) under uncultured bacterium. RNAcentral describes it as "partial 16S ribosomal RNA". It matches the Rfam family "Bacterial small subunit ribosomal RNA", at positions 338 to 795 of the family's 1533-position model. The record is from RNAcentral.